This 431-nucleotide ribosomal RNA is filed under the name uncultured bacterium. Its description in RNAcentral is "partial 16S ribosomal RNA". It matches the Rfam family "Bacterial small subunit ribosomal RNA", at positions 29 to 507 of the family's 1533-position model. The record is from RNAcentral.
AACGAACGCUGGCGGCAGGCCUAACACAUGCAAGUCGAGCGCGCCUUCGGGUGCGCGGCGGACGGGUGAGUAACGCGUGGGAAUAUGCCCUUCUCUACGGAAUAGUCCUGGGAAACUGGGGGUAAUACCGUAUACGCCCUUUGGGGGAAAGAUUUAUCGGGGAAGGAUUAGCCCGCGUUGGAUUAGGUAGUUGGUGGGGUAAUGGCCUACCAAGCCGACGAUCCAUAGCUGGUUUGAGAGGAUGAUCAGCCACACUGGGACUGAGACACGGCCCAGACUCCUACGGGAGGCAGCAGUGGGGAAUCUUAGACAAUGGGGGCAACCCUGAUCUAGCCAUGCCGCGUGAGUGAUGAAGGCCUUAGGGUUGUAAAGCUCUUUCAGCUGGGAAGAUAAUGACGGUACCAGCAGAAGAAGCCCCGGCUAACUCCGUG